AACCUGUGAUGACAUGAUUCUGCCAAAUGAAUCUGCUGAUUAUAUCCUUAUACCGUUCCAUAUAUCUGAGGUU
Cyprinus carpio carpio is the source of this 73-nucleotide small nucleolar RNA. Lineage: Eukaryota; Metazoa; Chordata; Actinopteri; Cypriniformes; Cyprinidae. The record is from Ensembl.